CUUAUCGCAAGUCUAUGUUUAAUUUAUUGGGGAAGAACCAAACGAUUUUCCAGUUUACAGUCUGGUUGGCUACACGACUUUCCAUUCCUACCUGCAGUGUGUGAAGAAUCCAUCCUCUCCCGUCGCCAGCACGUGCCAGCUCUUCGCUCAGUCAACACUUCAGAUCUGUGCAGGGAGAUCACAGGAUUUUCAACGUCAGCCUCCGGCCCCUUCCUCUAUUUUGCCCAAGGCGCUGGUUGGAGCCCUCCCCUGUGUGGCUCUCCACCGGGUCAGGUGAUGAAGUGAGAACAGGUUCACAGCAGGAGUGUUGCUAAUCCCUCUAACCUGGGACCUGGGGUCCUGUGCGGAACCCACGGACGUUGGCUCAACUGGGAGAGUUGCCAGCACAAGUCGCCAGAGGCCUGAGCCGCACCCACCAGGCUGGAUUUGAGAGUUCUGCAGGACCCUGGACACGGAAGGGGUUGGCGGUGAGCAACGGGGAGUGUGAGAAGCUCGGGGUGCUCUCUGAGACCCCUGCCAAGCAAAGGCUCACUCUCCAAGAAGUGGGGAGCAAGGGUCCUCUUCUCCUACUGGUACCCACCACCAAAGUCUUUCUAACUCCGAGGAGGAGAGACGAGGGGAAAGAAAAGGCGAAGAGAAAAGGGGAAUGAAGGCCAAGCACCUUUCUCCCAGGAUUAUACUUGGUGUGGAGUGAAACCCCUUUCUAUUUUCAAGCUCUUACUGGGCACUGGACCUUCAGUGGAUCACCCAAGGGCCUGCUGGGUACUCCAGAGAGAGACACAGAAGUCGGGGGCUUGUCCUCAGGGACUCGAGACUCACGGACGAAGAUUGGAAACCCACCAAGCCCUCUGUGACAUCCGGGCCACCGGCACCCUCCUCCCAUGGGGUGAGAGUUGUAUCACGGGGACAAGGAUGGUGCCCUGUAAAUGCUGACCCACCAAUGGGGACACUGGGGAUUGGGCAGUCUGGGGACAAAGGCAGACACAGAGGAGUGGCUAUGUGGAGAUUAGGAAGAGAAGCGUGGGUGGGGGGCUGCCUCCUGUGGCCCAGGGUAUCCUGCCAGUGUGCUGUUUGACCCAAGCCAUGUGGUGGGAUCCCCUCUGGGGCCUCUAGGGUCCCCAAGAAGCAGCGAGUACAGGGUAUGCUGUCCUCAUGCAAUUGUAUUCCUCUCAAUCCAGCUUUCAGGAAAUGCGUGGCCAGAGGCAGUUUAACUGGAAUGGCUUUAUAACACUUUUCACAUCAGAUCAAACCCUGUGAUGACCAAUGCAUUCCACUGUUUGGUUUGAAAAGCACAUUAACAAAGGGGUGCAGGGCUGGCUUCAUUAGGGAUGUACAGAACUGCCCCAGUGCAGCCCCGACGGUUCUGCAGGCCCAGGGUGAAGGAAUGAAUUGGCUUCCUCUUGUGUUUUAAAUCCAUCACUUGUUGGAGCAAAUCAAUUCCCCAGAGUACGAGCGUCCCCAAUGGAGUGAUAAGAUCAGGUUCUGGAAUGCACACGCUCGGCUCUGGAUCAAGAUGGCCCUCACCCCACAGAGGCGUGGCGCCAAGGCCUCAGCACCCCCACCGCCCGGGGCAAGCAGUGGUGCCCGCCUUCACCUUCUGGGAGGAAAGUUCUUCAUCCAGGUCUGUGGACCCAGGCUCCACCUUCCCAGAUUGCUGCAAGUUCUGCCUUGGCUCCACACCAGAGAGUGAGCAUCACUGUGCCUGGGACUUGGGGAUCUGUCCCCGGGCUGGGGGAGAGGAGCGAGCAGAGGAAGGUUCCUGGUGAAGCCACGCUGGCCUCACUCCAGACCUCGCAUCCUCUCAUCAGCUGAAGAUCCACCAGUGCAGGUGGGCAGCACAGGGCCAGGCGGCCCAUGGCUCCCUUAACGGGGAGGGGUGGGAAAUUGGGACAAGCUCCCUGAGAGCCAAAACCUCCAACUUCGGUGGGUCAGCCACACAGUGCCCGGGAAAGCAGGCGGUGGCCUCCCUGUUUCCCCCGAGCCACAGCCGCUGACCUGACUCCACAUGGCAGGAACUAUCUGCGGGGCUUCUCUCAAGACCUUGCCUGAGGAGGAUCCCCCUUGUCUGCAGGCGGGACCCCGAGCCCGGACCCCCAGGAAGGGGCCACCCUAACUGCCCUCCUCUUAAACCACAGCCUUGUUUUCCAGCAACCCUGCCCCCUUCCAAAGGAAUCCUUCCUCUCUCCCUUGAAGGGCCUGCGGACAGAUUAAAGGCUCCUUCUCUGCUCCAGGUUUUUCUCCCAGAGGAGCUGAAUUUUAGCCGAAUACCCACGGGCAGUUAGGGUGGCCCCUAACAGCUCUCAGGGAGCCGGGCCCGAUUUCCCACCCCUCCCGCUGUAGGCACUGGUAAGGAGGUAUCUCACUGGUCCGCUGGCAAUCCCGCGGGGAGUGGCUCUUCUUUCGGGAUUUGCUGAACCCAGGCUGGCAGAGCUCAGGCUGGCGAAUCCCUGUGUUGCAAAGCCAGGGCACUGAAAGGAGGCAGGGAGGGGCUGCUUCCGGCACCCAGAGUCUUGGCAGCUGUUGCCGGGCAAGAAUCUACUGCCGCCGCUGCCAUUGGUCCUUCUGCCUCUUCCUGGCAGAGCAAGAGUGAUGCCCACACCCAGGGCUGGUCCAUUUCGCCACCCAGGCUGCCUAAGGAGGCCAUGCCCACUGGCUUAGGUGGCUUCUUGGGGUCCAGCACCAUUCCAGCCAGUGCCACAGGGACAGACACAGGGGGAGCAGUCACAGCUGCCUGGUCACGGCCCCCACGCCACGGCUCCUGGGCACAGCUGCUCUGUGAUUCUCCUGCCUGCUGCUUGCCCGGCUCCCUCGUCUUCUCUCUCCCCGGGCCUCACCCUUUCCCAGUGCCUGUUGCUGCUGGAUGGGCAGGCGGGCACCCAACUCCUGGCUCUCCUGCUGUCAUGUCUCCUGGGGUGCAGUGCUGGGCAACCUCAUGCAGCCAGCGUCUGUCUCAGGCUGCAGGGCACUGGGCACUCUUUGGGCACAUCAGCCUCAGGCUCCCCAAGGGCAGGCCCCACCUGGUUUGUUCAUCUGCGCCUAGAGCAGCACUUGGCACAUAGUAGGAUCGAAUAGAUGAGUGAUCUGAGGGGCUGUGGCACCCACUCCCCCCCACAGCAGGAACUGGCCUGUUUGCAUCUUUCCUGCAGGACCAGAAGCCUGACUUCUGGGAAGCCCUGGAACCCUGGAAGAGGAAGGGGCAGAUUCUAGGGUGAACUGGCUGUGCAGUACAGAGGCAAACAGCAGAGAGGCUGGUGGUGGGGUGAGGGUGAGUGGCAGGGAAGUGAGGGCAGACCUUGUAGAAUUCCAGAAAGGCCAGAUCAGCAGUGACCCCUGUUUAUUAGGCGUCUCCCUCCAACCAGGAGCUGGGACCAAACCGUCAGAGUGUCUGCAAGUCAUCAAGGCCAGAGGCAGUGUGGUGUCAUGGUUAGAGCACCAGCUUUGCAAGGGACGUACACCUGGGUCCACGUCGUUGUGUGACCUCAGGGAAAUCUCUCAACCCCUCUGUGUCUGUUAAAUAGGAACGACAACAGUAACAACUCUCACAGGGUUACUGUGAGGAUUUGAUGUGAUGGUGCAGGAGAAAGGCUUAAAGUAGUGUCUGGCAUGUGGUAAAAUUUAAUCAGUUUUAGUUAAAAGUGGCAGUGGUGAUAAUUAUAGCAAAGGUUUGGAUGGGUGGAAAAGCCUCAGUAAACAAGAAGCGUGGGUGUCCCCGUUGCUGUGUGAACCUGAGGCAUGUGCAUGUCCCUUUGGUUUCUGCAGUUAGGGAGGGAGGAGCCGGGGAUGGACGCUGUGGAGCCCUUUGUCCUGAGAUUUGUGGGGUUGAAUGAUGAGCUGGUUUAGGCUCAUGGCGCAGUUUUCUUAGGCCAAUUGCAUUUCGUCCUUGUGCCACCUCUGGGCAGUCAACUGGCCAAUGACUAUGACCAUGAUGUUUCUGGUAAGGAAAUCCAAGGCCCAGCGAGUGAAGUGAAAUGGCCACACCACACCUUUCUGGCCAACGAGGGCAGAACCCACAUUGCUAACUUCUGCCCUGAGUUCCUGGGGCCUUCACAGUCUGCUGGGCUUAUGAGCUUGUUUGUCAAUUCGUUUUUUGUUUUUUUCUCUUUUUUUAAUAAAUGGCCAUGAACAGUUUGGAAACCCAGACAAUCAGUACUUCUGGGGGCAAAGCCCUACCCCAGGGAAGGGACUGUCUUGGACUUUAAAGACGAAUAUUCUGGAAUCUGCUCUUAUGAACACAUGAUGGUCACAUAUUGGGGCCUGAUGCCUGAGACCUUAUAAAGUACUUUCACAGACCUUACAGCUUUGGUGCCUCCCAGCCCAUAUGCUUUUCAUCCCGUGUAUCAGUCAGGGUUCUCUAGAGGGACAGAGCUAAUAGGAUAGAUAGAUAUAUCUAAAAGGGAGUUUAUUAAAUAUUCACAGUCACAAGGUCCCACAAUGGGCUGUCUGCAAGUUUGAGGAGCAAGGGGAGCCAGUCUGAGUCUCAAAACUGAAGAACUUGGAGUCUGAUGUUCAAGGACAGGAAGCAUCCAGCGCGGGAGAGAGGUGUAGGCUGGGAGGCUGGGCUGGUCUCGCCUUCUCACCUUUUCCUGCUGCUUUAUAUUCGCUGGAAGCUGAUUGAGGGUGGGUCUGCCUGCCCAGCCCACUGACUCAAAUGUUAAUCUCUUUUGGCAACACCCUCCCAGACACACCCAGGACUAAUUCUUUGCAUCCUUCGGUCCAAUCAAGCUGACAGUAUCAACCAUCACAUCCCACUUGGCGAAUAGUCUCAGAAACAGGAAGGGUUGUAAAGUCAGGACUUGAACUCAGAUCUUCAGGUUCUGAGCCCAAAGAAACCCUCUCUGAGGGCACUAGAAGUGUCCUAUGACCUGACUAGGUGCCCAGCCCAGGGUCAUCGAAUCUUUGCUCCUCUGGAGAGAAACCUGAAGCAGAAGCCACGUCCUGUUUUCCAGGGAAACCUCAUCAUUGACCUGUCACAGCCCAGGGCCUGCUGGGAAAAUCUCUCAGGUACAGACCACCCCCGAUAGUUGUUCUAAAAAGGGAGUUAUCUACCGGAGGAAUAUUCCCCAGGAAUAAUUGCUAAAAGGCCUAAUUUUGGAGAUAACCACUAUUAUAAAUGUCUCAUUACUUUAAUUAAAGUCUCAUCCAUCACAGAUGCGCUGUUCCCUGAAGCACAAGCGGCCAAUGCGGCGGCAGCCAGCGUGAGAGGCCGAGCGUGUAUUCACAGAGCAGCCUCCUCCCAACCUUCUGGAUCAGAUGCUGGCAGCCCUGCCAUCCCCCCCACCAAUGCCCCAUUUCCUCCUCCAUGGCCCAAAUACCACGUGCCCUUUCAAACCCCUUCUCUGCUCCGACUACCCAAGUGUGAUGUCCCCCGUCUCCGAGCGGGAGAGUCAGCAAAAGCUGGCAUUCGGCAAACCAGAGUGUGACAGGGCCCGUCAGAAGCAGAGGAUGCCCAACAGCUGGUGUCUCGGGAGAAAAGUGGCAAGGCCCCUAACACAGAUUUGUGUAUCGGGAUUUUGGGGGCUGUGUCUGCCACCCUGGGGGUUAUCAUGUCCAACCUCAGCGGAUUCAACUCACUGUGUGCAAGGCCCUGGACGUAUGUUGUCCUGUUCAGUCCCACGACAGCUCUGUGAGGUUGUGCAGUUGACUCUUGGAUGAUGUGGAGAUUGGAGCGCUGACCCUACACAGCUGAAAAUCUGUGUAUAACU
This is a non-coding RNA of Chlorocebus sabaeus (green monkey), 5702 nucleotides long. The record is from RefSeq and is a predicted model, not a curated record. NCBI's taxonomy places the organism in Eukaryota, Metazoa, Chordata, Mammalia, Primates, Cercopithecidae.